GCCUUCGUGGUGUAGUGGUUCGCACGCCGGUUUGUGGUGCCGGAGGUGUCGGUUCGAUUCCGGUCGGAGGCC
This 72-nucleotide transfer RNA is filed under the name Actinomadura madurae. It matches the Rfam family "tRNA". From Rfam's summary of the family: Transfer RNA (tRNA) molecules are approximately 80 nucleotides in length. Lineage: Bacteria; Bacillati; Actinomycetota; Actinomycetes; Streptosporangiales; Thermomonosporaceae. The record is from Rfam by way of RNAcentral.